GGGGAAUUUUGCGCAAUGGGGGGAACCCUGACGCAGCGACGCCGCGUGGGUGAUGAAGGCCUUCGGGUUGUAAAGCCCUGUUGGGGGGGAAGAUAAUGACGGUACCCCCUGAGGAAGCCCCGGCUAACUACGUGCCAGCAGCCGCGGUAAGACGUAGGGGGCGAGCGUUGUCCGGAAUUACUGGGCGUAAAGGGCGUGUAGGCGGCCUUUCAAGUCGGCUGUGAAAUACCCCGGCUCAACCGGGGGGGUGCAGUCGAAACUGGGGGGCUUGAGUGCAGGAGAGGAGGGUGGAAUUCCCGGUGGAGCGGUGAUAUGCGUAGAUAUCGGGAGGAACACCAGUGGCGAAGGCGGCUCUCUGGCCUGUAACUGACGCUGAGGCGCGAAAGCGUGGGGAGCGAAC
This 400-nucleotide ribosomal RNA is filed under the name uncultured bacterium. RNAcentral's name for it is "partial 16S ribosomal RNA". It matches the Rfam family "Bacterial small subunit ribosomal RNA", at positions 356 to 773 of the family's 1533-position model. The record is from RNAcentral.